This 84-nucleotide small nucleolar RNA is filed under the name Labrus bergylta (ballan wrasse). RNAcentral's name for it is "Small nucleolar RNA SNORD100 (ENSLBEG00000002472.1)". It matches the Rfam family "Small nucleolar RNA SNORD100". From Rfam's summary of the family: The members of this family belong to the C/D class of snoRNAs which contain the C (UGAUGA) and D (CUGA) box motifs. Most of the members of the box C/D family function in directing site-specific 2'-O-methylation of substrate RNAs. HBII-429 (SNORD100) is predicted to guide the 2'O-ribose methylation of 18S rRNA G436. Lineage: Eukaryota; Metazoa; Chordata; Actinopteri; Labriformes; Labridae. The record is from Rfam by way of RNAcentral.
UGUAUCACUGAUGAUAAUUUGGCUCCCUCUACUGAAUUCCCCUGAGGAGAAUGCCACUGUUACCCAAUUUCUGUCUGAGAUGUG